UACAGAGGUCUCAAGCGUUGUUCGGAUUCAUUGGGCGUAAAGGGUGCGUAGGCGGCGCGGUAAGUCGGGUGUGAAAUCUCGGAGCUUAACUCCGAGACUGCAUUCGAUACUGCCGUGCUUGAGGACUGGAGAGGAGACUGGAAUUUACGGUGUAGCGGUGAAAUGCGUAGAUAUCGUAAGGAAGACCAGUGGCGAAGGCGGGUCUCUGGACAGUUCCUGACACUGAGGCACGAAGGCCAGGGGAGCAAACGGG
RNAcentral lists this ribosomal RNA (253 nucleotides) under uncultured bacterium. RNAcentral's name for it is "partial 16S ribosomal RNA". It matches the Rfam family "Bacterial small subunit ribosomal RNA", at positions 524 to 776 of the family's 1533-position model. The record is from RNAcentral.